Molecule: ribosomal RNA, 115 nt
Filed under: Alphaproteobacteria bacterium RIFCSPHIGHO2_02_FULL_46_13
Lineage: Bacteria; Pseudomonadati; Pseudomonadota; Alphaproteobacteria
Also listed under: 1 other name
Source: RNAcentral
CCUGGUGGUUUUACCAAGGGUGAAACACGUCAUCCCAUCCCGAACUGAACUGUGAAAAACCUUCGGGCCGAUUGUACUAUGUCUUAAGAUAUGGGAGAGUAGGUCACUGCCAGGU